Molecule: ribosomal RNA, 253 nt
Filed under: uncultured bacterium
Lineage: Bacteria
Description: partial 16S ribosomal RNA
Rfam family: Bacterial small subunit ribosomal RNA
Source: RNAcentral
UACGGAGGGUGCAAGCAUUAAUCGGAAUUAUUGGGCGUAAAGGGCGCGUAGGCGGAUAGGUAAGUUAGAUGUGAAAUUCCGGGGCUCAACCUCGGAGCUGCAUUUAAAACUACCGAUCUAGAGGAAUGGCGGAGAAAAUGGAAUUCCACGUGUAGCGGUGAAAUGCGUAGAUAUGUGGAGGAACACCAGUGGCGAAGGCGGUUUUCUAGCUUUUUCCUGACGCUGAGGCGCGAGAGCAAGGGGAGCAAACAGG